UUAUUCACCCUUGUCUUUUGCGUACUUCUUGUUUCCUUGGUGGGUUCGCCCACCACUAGGACAAACAUAAACCUUUUGUAAUUGCAAUCAGCGUCAGUAACAAAUUAAUAAUUACAACUUUCAACAACGGAUCUCUUGGUUCUGGCAUCGAUGAAGAACGCAGCGAAAUGCGAUAAGUAGUGUGAAUUGCAGAAUUCAGUGAAUCAUCGAAUCUUUGAACGCACAUUGCGCCCUUUGGUAUUCCAAAGGGCAUGCCUGUUCGAGCGUCAUUUGUACCCUCAAGCUUUGCUUGGUGUUGGGCGUCUUGUCUCUAGCUUUGCUGGAGACUCGCCUUAAAGUAAUUGGCAGCCGGCCUACUGGUUUCGGAGCGCAGCACAAGUCGCACUCUCUAUCAGCAAAGGUCUAGCAUCCAUUAAGCCUUUUUUUCAACUUUUGACCUCGGAUCAGGUAGGGAUACCCGCUGAACUUAAGCAUAUCAAUA
This 481-nucleotide ribosomal RNA is filed under the name Alternaria sp. CJL-2014. RNAcentral's name for it is "eukaryotic LSU rRNA". The stretch from base 116 to 269 matches the Rfam family "5.8S ribosomal RNA". Lineage: Eukaryota; Fungi; Ascomycota; Dothideomycetes; Pleosporales; Pleosporaceae. The record is from RNAcentral.